GUUUGCAUCAACAGACCUGAGAGUGCGGGUGGGAGUGUGCUGGUGGAUGAGCUCAGACAGGUAGGGGGAGGGGCCUGGUUGUGAUGAUGAGGAGCUUGAAGUUGAUACGCUGGGGGAUGGGGAGCCAGUGGAGGUCAUGAAGAACGGGGAUGAUGUGGUCUCUGGUGCGGGAGUGUGUGAGGAGACGAGCAGCAGAGUUCUGAAUGUAUUGGAUACGCUUUUGGCUGAAAGCCGCCAAUUAACAGGGUUACACAUUAAACCGAACGGGACGGUUGCAACCAUGGAGAGAGGAAAGAGAAAGUGAGUGCAGACGGUGCCGAUGGUGUGCUGACCAGGUGGCAACCUCUGGUCUUAAAAAAUGAAGCCAAUGCAGAAGUGCAAAAUCCUGCAGUUCCUAGAGUGACCGCUUGAGGCUCCAGGAACACCUGGAAGUAACAUACACAUGUCUGGCAAAAAAAGCAGUUUUUACAGCAUAAAUAAACAUGUUUACAGCCUGGUACCAAAAAACGAAAUAGGUCUGAAUAGUUAUUGUCAUCACUGGCACACAUGGCACCGUAUUGAUUUAGAAAAUGAUGCGUGUUAUCCAUAUUUAGGCACAUAGCUGACAUGAUUGACAGGUGGGCGAGAUGCAACGGUUGGUCAAGAGGCUUAAACCCUGCCACAUAAUGGUACCUCCUCGAGUGUUGCCAUGUCUGUUUACAUCCUGUAGUUGUAUACAUCCAGAGCUCUCUGCUGUGCCCUCUUUAUUUUCCCGUUCCAUGCGUAGCACACAGUCAUCAACCGACCUAAGCCUCUUGAAGCACUUGUGUCACAAACUACCCAUUCAGGCUUUUCAAAAUCAGUUGCCUUGGAAUCGUCUGUCAUUCCAUAGACAGUUGAAUAAAAUAAUGUGAAUCCUAGUCCAGCUCUGGCACUGUGUUUGAUGCAAUCUGUCUUUGAAACAUAGGUAUAAUAUACACAGUAUACAUAUUUUAUUAAGAUUUGAACUACUAUAACGUUUUUCUUAUUUUUAGAUUGUUCACCUAGAAUUUUUUUUUUUAUCAGGGUCUUUUUAUUUUCAUUUUCAACAUUAUAUCACAGGCCCAAAAGGACCAACAGAACAGGAGAAAAACAACAACAACAAAAGAAAAAACUAACUAAAAUAAAUCCUCACCCCCCCCCCAGAAACCAGACACACACACAUAAACAUUGUACAUAGCCAGAUAUCUAUCAAAAGGAGAUAAAUGAUACAUUGCAUAUAGCCAGACAUUCAUAAAAGGUAAAUAAAUAAUACAUAUAGAAAUAAAUCACAGAAAGAAAAAAAAAAUGGUGCCAUUA
This is a long non-coding RNA of Labrus mixtus (cuckoo wrasse), 1317 nucleotides long. RefSeq lists it as uncharacterized. The transcript is spliced from 2 exons. NCBI's taxonomy places the organism in Eukaryota, Metazoa, Chordata, Actinopteri, Labriformes, Labridae. The record is from RefSeq and is a predicted model, not a curated record.